CUUCUGCGAGGGCGCGAGGACUCCAGGAGCCGUCCUGGUUCGAGCAUUUCUGAAGAAACUGAGUUCCCGGCGUUCGCAGCCUGGGAGUCACAGGCGCCCACCCACCGGUAGGUCCUUGAGUUUCGAGAGCCAGUAGCUGAAGGAGAGAGGAGAGGCAAGUGCCUACAACUCCCAGAGCACUGCGCGGAGGCGCCCGGCCGCGCUGUCCUGGCCGCCAGGCUGCCUCUCCCGCUGGGGGCCGCCGCGCUGUCUGCGGGCUACUAGCGCCGGGCCCCUCCGCGUCGCCACGCCUGCCCUUCACAGCCUUGGCCCAUAAGGUCACCGAGGGGCGGGAGGCGCCGCCCGGGCCCUCCUUGGAGGCGGGCGCUGCUCCCGCACCAUCCUCCCCCAGUUCUCUUAGACUCCGGGGUACUUUGGAGGCCGAGACAGACACGCUGUCCCUGCUGCCACGGAGGUCCCUGCUUGCAGGUGCAGGCUGUUAGAGGAGAGGGUCUGAAAACAAGAAAGGGGAAUAGCUGUAUGAUAACUGCUUGAAGGCGAGAGGGCCCAGCGACAGCUCUGUUUUAGACAGGGCCUCCAGGCCUCUUAGACUCAGUCCCUGCCACGCACCCACUCCUGCCCUGGCCGCUGCGACGGCAUAAUCUCGGGAUCUUUGAAGGCAGAUGCGGGGCUAAACCAUCCCACCUGACGGGAACCCUGCCACAGGACCCGACAUAUCCCUGUCUGGACACUGCUGUAACGAGUCAAAGUCAGGAAGGACUAACUGGAGCCCAGAGAUUCCCAGGUGCUGCUGCCUCAGACCUGUGGACUCUUUGGAGGAUCUCUUACAGUUUGUGAACUUCUCAGUUCCUCUACUGCUCCCACAGACAACGUUGCUAAACAUAUUAAUUGGUCCCAUAAAUACUUGAGCAAAACAAAUGCGAAAAUCUGUCCCGAAUUCAGCCUAGAAGAAGCCCAGCCCUGCGCGUCACACUUCUGUGUAGUGGAACCCCCCUUCCCACCCCGCCGCAGGCCACAGCAGGAGGGCCAGCAGACGGAAAGGCGACCCUCUCCUUGUUGAGGAUUCCUUUCGAUUUCCUUCCAGCUGACAUUCUACCACAGUUUUAGCUGCUUGCAAUCCUCUCACCGUCCCUCAUCACCUACAGUGUGUGAUUCAAAUUCCUUAGCACAAUCAAGAAGCCCCUCCUUAGUUUGGAAGUUGCCUAGCUCUCCAAAUUCAACUGCCUACCUUUCCCGUCUGGAACUUGCCAGGCUAGUAAAUUCAGAGGGUUUGCAGAUACGUAGAUGUUCUAUGCUUUACCUAAAAUGCUUUUACCUCCCAGCCAACUUUUUUUUUUUUUUUUGAGACAGAGUCUUGCUCUGUCGCCCAGGCUUGAGUGCAGUGGUGCGAUCUUGGCUCACUGCAACCUCCGCCUCCCAGGUUCAAGCAAUUCUCCUACCUCAGCCUCCUGAGUACCUGGGAUUACAGGUGGUGCCACCACACCCAGCUAAUUUUUGUAUUUUUAGUAGAGACGGGGUUUCACCAUGUUGGUCAGGCUGGUGUCCAACUCCUGACCUCAUGAUCCAUCCCCCUCAGCCUCCCAAAGUGCUGGGAUUUACAGGCAUGAGCCACGGUGCCCAGCUCUCCCAGCCAACUUUUGUCCUUCAAGACCUUGUACCUGUCUGGUCUCUAAAAAGUACCUGGCCUUCCUGUUGAGUCAUACAGCCCUGCCUCCAAGUGUCAGCGUAGUUCAUGCUGGAGACCUCUUAACAGUUCCAUGGUAUGACACUGCGGAUAUGGCUGUCUUUUCUUUGUAUCAGUGUGGUGAUUCAGAGGGUAUACUAGGGAUUCUAGAACGCACUUCUGGCUCAGGGGCUGCUUGUGUAACUUCUGUUUCUCAGCUGCCUGGUUUGUAUCAUGGGAUGAUAGUAUCUCCCCUCAGAGGAUUGCGGUAUUUCAUGAGGUGAUACGUGUAUGGAGGCCAAGUGCUGUUUUAUAUUUUAAGUGAUCUACAUCUUGAUUUUCACAACAACUGUAUAAAAGUGAUACUGUUGGCCAGGUGCGUUAGCUCACGCCUGUAAUCCCAGCACUUUGGGAGGCCAAGGCGGGUGGAUCACCUGAGGUCAGGAGUUCAAGACCGGCCUGGCCAGCAUGGUGACACCUCGUCUGUACUAAAAAUACAAAAAUUAGCCGGGCAUCGUGGCACACGCCUGUAAUCCCAGCUACUCGGGAGGCUGAGGCAUGAGAAUCAUUUGAACCCGGGAGGUGGAGGUUACAGUGAGCUGAGAUCGCACGACUGCACUCCAGAAUGGAUGACAGAGCAAGACUCUGUCUUAAUAAUAGUAUCACUUUUUUUUUUAAUCAACAAUCUCAUUUUGUAAAUGAGGAAAUCAACUUACAGACGACCUGAGUGACUUGCUCACACUGCCAGCCAGGAAAGUGCUAGGAUUUGAGCCCAGACUGUCCAGUUACAGAGAUUACACUCUGCCAUUGUGCCUCUCCAGAAGCACUGGAGGUAGGUCUAGUGCAUAGAGUAAAUGUAAAUGCUGAAACAACUGUGGCCCUAAUGAACAUCCCAUUUCUCCAGCUUUUUACUCUCCCCUUAACUUCUGAAUGACCGUCUGCUUCUAAUCUGCCAACUUGGUCUAAGAUCCUCACGGUGUUUCCUCCUGAUUACUGUUAAUGCACGGAGGUUGUCUGGAAGGUUCAUAGGCAGCCUGAUUGACUCAGUAUGUAUUAGCUGAGCACCUUUGGAGGGCACAGCCUGAGUGGUGGGAAUUAGUUCCUGGGGGCUGUCCUGCGGUGGAGACUCCCGUGAGCCCUCUGUCCUGCUGUAUGAAGGCAGCCAGUGGAAAGGCAUGUCCUCGCUGGUGCUCAAAGUAAUCUGCUACUUCUCUUACUACACUUUUCAUUCAUUCAUUCUUAAAUCGUUGAAGGCAUACUCUGCAGGUACUCUUGGGCACAGAGAUACGGUGUUUAGUAAGACAAACACUGUUCCUGGGUCUUAACGGGCUUUACAUUCCAAUGGGAUAAACAACUUAAGUAAAUAUUUUCAGAGAGGAGUACCAAGAAGAAAAGGAACAGGAUGAUAUAAUGGAGUGACUUGGAGAUCACAGGUGGUAAGAGGUCACUCUAAAAAGGUAACAUUUGAAGGCUGGGCACAAUGGCUCACACCUGUAACCCCAGCACUUUAGGAGGCUGAGGAAGGAGGACAGCUUGAGUCCAGGAGUUUGAGGCCAGCCUGGGCAACAUGGGGAGACCUUGACUCUACAAAAAAUUUAAACAUUAACUAAGUAUGGUGGCACGUGCCUGUAGUCCUAGCUACUGGAGAGGCUGAGGUGAGAGGAUCUCUUGAGCCCAGGAGUUUGAGACUGCAGUGAGCUAUGUUUGUAUUACUACACUCCAGCCUGAGGGACAGAGUGAGACCCUGUCUCUUAAAAACGAAAACCCGACUGUAUCAAAAGGUAACAUUUGAGUGGGACUUGAAAGAGUGUGCAUGCGAAGGACUGAAGACAGAAUGUUCUGUGCAGAGCGAAUUAAUGCAAUGGCUUUGCAGUGCAGAUGGGCCUGGGGUGGUCCAAUAAGGUUAGGACCAAGGUGGCUGGAGCAUCAUGAGACAAGCGUGGUACUUAGCUUGCCUUUGGUUAAGUCACUUUCUCUAUUUGAAUUUCAGUUUCUCACCUGUAAAAUAUGAGUAAUUUUAUCUGUAUUAGCCAGUGUGUAAUUAGAGGAAAAACCAUUUAAUACAGGGUAUUGUUUACAAAGGUGUUGGAAGGGCAUGAGAAACAAGGGGAGAACAAGGGCACCCAAAGCCUGACCCCCACAAGGCUAGAGGAGCAACAGGAAAAUUCGUUUCCAGAGACUGAUUCCUCAGCUGCUGAGCAGGAGCCUGGAGCCACACUUGCUGCCUGGUACUACUGACACACAACUGGAACCACCGCUGUGGCCUGGGGUGCCACCAGAAGCCAGAGAUUAGAAUUGCUUUCCCCAUCUCAUAUCUUCCAAACUCCCACCAGUGCCUCCCACUGGCUGAGUCAGAUGACAAGGGAGUCUGGGAAAUGUAGUUGUUUGGCUUCCAGCCCUGACCAUGGAGAGUAUAGAAAGGCAGGUGUAGGGGAGAAAAUAGAUGCCAUUCACACAGCGCCUAUCUUGCAGGGCUGUUUUGAGGAGUAAAAACUCAGCCUAUUUUUAUUCCUCAUAGCAUGUAGUAGCAUUCAGGGAAAGGCAAAUCUUCCAAAACAAUAUCUUAGGUAUAAUAGUUCUACAUAAAGGUUUGAAUUUACCAUUAAAAGCAUCAAAAUGAGCAUUUUAAAAGUAGAAUUUUAAGUCUGAAUGGGCAGUAUAUUCACAUGGUAUAAAAUUCAAAUUACAAAACAAUAUACAGUGAAAAAUAAGGGGGUUUUUUUGCUCAUCUUCUUGUGACCUGGCUCUUUCCAUCUCUGUCCACAACCCUCUGCAGGCAAUAACUGGUACCUUUGUUAUGGAUCCUCUGCAGAUAUAAAGUAGACAUAUAUUAACAAAUGUUUUCUUUGGCCCAGAGGAUGCAUAUUAUGCACAUUCCUCCAUUUCUUGUUUGUUUUUGUUUUUUCCACUUAAUUGUAUCUUGGAGAUCACUCUGUAUCAGUAUAUAUCUGAUUUGUUUUAGCAGUACAUGAUAAUCCAUUGUUUGGAUAUGCCAUAAUUGUAUCAGCCAGUCUCUGGACAGUCUUUUACUAUUUCAAGGAGUGCUGCAGUAAACAUGUUUGCGCCACUUCCUGGUACCCAUUGCAAAUAAAACUGGGAUAAUUUCCUGACGAGAACUUGCUGGGUCAGAGUGUAGGCACUUGUUGUUUUGAUAAAUAUUGCCAGACUACACCCCACUCCCUCCAGCAGUACAUGACACUGCCUAUUUCCCCACAGCUGUGCCAGCAUGGUCUGUUAGCAAGUGUUUUCUUUUUGCAAAUUUAAAAGUGGUAUCUCGCUAAAUGCAAUAUGGUAGCAGAGGACAUUUGUGGAAAAACAGGUGAAAUCUGGGCUGGGUGUGGUGGCUCAUGCCUAUAAUCCCAGCACUUUGGGAGGCCGAGGCAGGCGGAUCACAAGGUCAGGAGUUCGAGACCAGCCUGGCCAAUAUAGUGAAACCCCGUCUCUACUAAAAAUACCAAAAAAAGUUAGCUGGGCAUGGUGGUGCAAGCCUGUAAUCUCAGCUACUCGGGAAGCUGAGUCAGGAGAAUCGCUUGAACCUGGGAGGCGGAGGUUGCAGUGAGCCAAGAUCAUGCCACUGCACUCCAGCCUGGGUGAUGGAGUGAGACUCUGUCUCAAGAAAGGAAAAAAAAAACAAAAAACAGGUGAAAUCUGAAUGGGGUCUUGAGUUCAGUUAAUAGUAACUGCCAAUGUUGGUUCUUAGUUUUGACACAUACCAUGACUAUGUGAGAUGUUAAUGUCAGGGGAACCAGGAUGAAGGCUAUACAGAACUGUACUAUUUUUGCGACUUCUCUGUACAUCUAAAAUUAUCCUUAAAAAGGUUUCUUUAAAAAAUGACAUCUUGUUUUCUGUAAAAUUUGAAUUUCUCAUGAGUGAAAUGGAACGUUUUGAAUAUGAUGCUCUUUUUAAAAGGUGGCCUUAAUAAUUUGUAUUUACUAAGGAAAAAAGUCAGAGUUUAUUUACUUUAAAAAAAUUCAGGCCGGGCGUGGUGGCUCAUGCCUGUAAUCCCAGCACUUUGGGAGGCUGAGGCGGGCGGAUCACGAGGUCAGGAGAUCAAGACCAUCCUGGCUAACAUGGUGAAACCCUGUCUCUACUAAAAAUACAAAAAAUGAGCCGGGCGAGGUGGCAGGCGCCUGUAGUCCCGGCUACUCUGGAGGCUGAGGCAGGAGAAUGGCGUAAACCCGGGGGGUGGAGCCUGCAGUGAGCAGAGAUUGCGCCACUGCACUCCAGCCUGGGGGACAGAGCGAGACUCCGUCUGAAAAAAAAAAAAAAUUCAUUAACAGUACAUUUAAAAUUUCUGUUACUGGAGAUUGUAUUUCUCAUUCCAUCCAUUAAUGUGCAGCUUCAAUGUUUUCCCCCAGAUAUGCAAUUUCACUUACAGGAUCUUGUUCUUCAGUGACAUGUCAUAAGAGUUAAUAAUUCCACAAGCCACCCUGCACUGCUGUGAUCCUAACAAUAUUGAAAGGUUGGUGUGUAUCCUUUCCUACCUUUCCUCAUUCUAAAAUGUUUCCUCGUUCUAAAUGCCAAGCUGGUUUUGAACAACUGACCUCAGGUGAUCCACCUACCUUGGCCCCUCAAGGUGCUGGGAUUAUAGGCAUGAGCUAACAUGCCCAGCCCUAAUCUGCUCUUCUUAGAUGGAUACUUGUCAGAUUGGGUUAAGACCCACUCUCAUGGCCUCAUUUUAACUUAAUUUUCUCUUUAAUAAAAGUCCAAAUGCAGUCCAUUCUGAAGUACUGGGAGGUUAAGAUUGUGUUAUUUGAAUUGAAGUGAGGGUGAGGGGCAGGGGCACACAACUCAGCCCAUAACACGUAGGAUUAAAAAAAUUCUUCGGGUCCGGGGAGGUGGCUCACACCUAUAAUCCCAGCACUUUGGGAGGCCAAGGUGGGAGGAUCACUUGAGCCCAGGAACUGGAGGAUGCAGUGAGCUAUGACUGCACCACUGCACUCCAGCCUGGGUGACAGAGUGAGACCCUGUCUCAAAAAAUAAAGUGAAGCCUCAGCCUCAGCAUACAGUGAGGCAGUGUGUGUGUGCAGUGAAUCGAAGUUCCAGUCAUCAUUACUUCAUUUCAGGGCUCCACACUGCCAUCUGGGCAUCCCCAGGCCUCUCUGGACUGGCCCUGCCCCACCCUCAUGGAGGUAGCCUUUACCUGGCAGGCACCUCAGAGGCUGGUCCUAUAUGUCACAUCAUUGAGAUAAAAAGAAAUCCAAGGCUGGAAGCAGUGACAAAUGGUGUGGACUUGGUGGAAGUUGCCCAGGGAGAUGGAUGAGAAUGGUGACAUCACACAUAGCACGGCUUUUUCUCCAAAAUCCCAGGACUUACCACAGUGGCCACACUCUGUCUCUCACCUGUUCACUUUCUUCUGCUCGCUCGCUCUCUCUCAGCCUCCCCUGUCCCACCUUUUCCAUAUGCGAAGACUCUCCCCCAGCACCCCUGUGGUGGUUUAAAAGCAUGGCAGCAAACUCCUCGGCAUUCCUUCCUUCAGGGUGGUGCCUAAGUCCCCUCCCAGGGAAUCUGAGUGGGCCUAUAACUGCUUCAGUCAGCAGGGUGUAGAGGAAGUGAUGCUGAAUGACUUUUAAGGUUGGCUCCUAAAAGGCCAUAGAGGCUCUGUCACUGGAGCUCCCUGUGCUGUGAUGGAAGUCUGAAGUCUUAAUGCUGAAGAAGCCCAAGCCAUGUGGAGAGGCCAGGUGUCAAAGCUCUAGUGAGCAUCACAGCUGAGCAGGGACAGGGCCCUCUGCUUCUUGUGGAGCCCUCUCUAGAUUCCCCACACACAGAAUCCACAAGCAGAAUGAAGUGGCUGUGAUUUGAUGCCCCUGGUUUCCUUGUUAUGCAGCAGUAGAUCACUGAAAUCAACCCCCUUCUAAAGGCCUCUCUGCAGACAUUCUCCACUUGGUGAGACCAAAGCUAGCCUAACAGGGCUCAGCAGCAGAGAAGCCCAGCCAUUGGCCAAAAAAGCCACUGGCUACCAUGCAGCCAGGAUGUCCUUGGGGAGCCUUGAUCUAUCCCACCACAUCAACAUUUCCACCUCAGACAUGGGAAAGGCACCAAGGUGUGAGCAUGGGCAGUACUCCUAGGGAACCCCAAGCACACCCCAUUGCCCCAAGAUGCAAAUGGAACUCCUCACUGGUCCCAUAGUUUUACAAUGUGAGUCUAGGAAAGCACAGAUGAGCCCUCUUUUAUGUUAUUGUCCGCCUUGGCGGAGAAUGGAAACAGCAAGAAUGCUGAGCUUGUGGUGCAGACUUGGAGAUGCAUUUGUCACUAGAACCUUAGCGCGUGCUUGUACAACCCUGGUGGUGGAGAGAUGAAUGGACGAGGCCCCUCCUUUCCAUAGCUCAUGUGGCCAGCCCCUCAUCUAAGGCAGGGGCCAAAACAGAGCAGGAAUGUGGAAGGGUGGCCAGCUGUCCUGGCUUGCCUGGGCCUGAGGGGAGUCCCAGGGCAUGGGAUUUUUAGUUUUAAUAUUGGGAGAGUUUUGGGCAAACUGGGCCAAGUUGGUCACAUGAGGGUGUGGCAAGCAAGGCAAAGAUGGUUUGAUCAUUGCAGCCCCUCACUUCCCAUAGCUCACUGCAGAGCCUGUGUCAUCCUGACAACAACGAUGUGGAAGGUGAGACAUCUGGCAGCAUUUUGACUUCAUGAACUGGGAAACGCACAUGGGUGGAGGCGCCUGCCCACGCUGCCCAGUGUCUCAUGGUGGCCACAAGAGGCUGCGGCUCCUGUUGCUCAAACAGGGCCCUGUUCUUGUCCAGCAUUUCCACAGCAAGGCCCCUGCUCACACCAGACACUUCCAGGGAACCCUUGGCCAGAUGACAGCAGUUGCUCUGGUAGUUAACGUUAUGGGAAACAGAUUCUAGGAAGCGCCCAUGCAUCGCAUCACACUUUUUCAUCUCUCCUUCUGUCCAUCCUUCUGCCCACUCCUAGUUAGGGCAUGUGUGCUCCAGGCUGGGAGCCAGGGCAGCCUCAUGGGUCAGCCCCAUCCGCAAGGAACCCAUGUCUGGGGAGACAGGCAUUCAAGAAUGAGAUAUUUUCAGGUGAGUGCUAGGCAGGCGAUAUCACUGAACAUACUUAGGGGUGAGUGGGGAAGGAGGUCUACCUAGGUAAGGAGGUAUGUGAGUCUGUCCUAGCCAAAUACCACAGACUGGGUGGUUGAAACAACACAGUUCCUGCUCACAGUUCUGCAGGCUGAAGUGCAAGAUCAAGGUGCUGGCAGAUCCCGUUCCGGCUGAAGGCAGAUGUCUGCCUUCUUGUGUCCCCACAUGGCUGAGAGACACAGAGAGUUCUCUCCUUAUAAGCAUACCCUUUCUGUCAGAUUAAGAUGCCACCCUGUGGCCUCAUUGCACCUUCGUUGCCUCCUAAAAGCCCCGUUUCCAAGUACAGUCCCAUUCUGAGGUCCUGGGAGUUAGGUCCUUAACACAGGAAUUCUAGGCGGACACAAUUCAGUCCCUAGCACCCCCGUUCCCAGUUGGAUCAAGGCCUCAAAAUGAAGACAGGCUUGUCUCACCUCACCUGUCCCUCUUCUGAGAAGCUGCAAGACUGAGAGGGAGCUGGAGAUAAUAGGUUGAUUUGGGACAAGGACACUACAGGGUGAGGACAUGGCUCUGUGUCCCAAGGUUUUGGGGCAGCAGACUGGUGGAGGACCAUGCUCAAGGGUUCUGAAGGGGAGCAGCUUCCUUGGCAGCCCGAGGCCCAAGACACAGAGGGCAGAGCACACAGAUACGAGCUGGGGCUGGAUACAUUGCUGACUCUGGGUAGAAGGCGAUGGAAAUGAGGGUCUGACGCUAUGUUCAAUCCUGUCCCACCCUAUGUGAUGGCUGGAGGGACAAGGGAACCCCAGUAGGAUGAUGGAUUCCUAGGGGUUGCAAAAGGAAUGGGCAGGGCCAGCCAUCACUGAGACAGCACCCAGGCGGUCUCGUAGGUUUUGCUUAGAGACUGUGUGCUCCACUUGCCAUUGCCAGGAGAGGCAUCCACCCAGGCGUCCAUGAAUACAUGGAUACACACAAGGAGGUGCAGCCACAUGAUACAAUGUGAUUCAGCUAAAGGAGAGUGGAGCUCCGGUCCAUGGACCUUGCGGAGGCACCUUGAGAACAUUGUUCCGGGUGAAAGAAGCCAGACACAAAAUAAAAUAUUGUAUGGUUACAACAAUGUGGAAAUGUCCAGAACAGGCACAUCCACAGAGACAGAAACCAGAUGUGUUACUGCCAGGGGCUGGGGGCAGGAGGGAAAAUGGGGAUGGCUUCUCGGGGGAAUGAGGUUUCUUUUGGGAGAUGAGAAUGUUUUGGAAGUAGAUAGAGGCGAUGGCUGUGCCACAUUGUGGAUGCACCAAAUGCAACUGAAUUGUACUCUGAAAUGAUUAAUUGUACAUUGUGUGAAUUUCACCUAAAUUUAAAGAAAAAGGUGACCAUGAGAGCAAAAUCUGUCCCAGCCAUGGAAACCCCCGGGCUCACCUGGGUACACUUAAACCGAACUCUCUGGCCCCUUGCUGGUCUACCUCCCCAGCCCAGACCAACAAAUAGCAGGUCCUGGAGAUAUCUGGGCAGCAUCCACACAUCAUUUCCAUAGAGCACAUGCCAGGGGCCCUGGCAUGAGUGGGACAGAGAUGAGGGAGACCACCGCAGAGAGCCACAGGAUAGAUACUGUGCUGCUCACAAAGGUCCUUUAAAAUUUUCCAGCAGCGGCUGGGCAUGGUGGCUCAUGCCUGUAAUCCCAGCACUUUGGGAGGCCAAGGUGGGUGGAUCACUUUAGGUCAGGAGUUCAAGACCAACCUGGGCAACACGGUGAAACCCCGUGUCUACUAAAAUACAAAAAAUUAGCCAGGAGUGGCAGCGUGUGCCUGUAGUCCCAGUUACUCGGGAGGCUGAGGCAGGAAAAUCGCUUGAACCAGGGAGGCGGAGGUUGCAGUGAGCCAAAAUCACGCCACUGCACUCCAGCCUGGGCGACAGAGUGAGACUGUCUCCAGAACAAACACAAUUUUCCAGUAGCAACACUUAAAAAGUAAAAGGAGGUGAAAUUAUGUUUUCUCUUUGAGACAGAGUCUUGCUCUGUCGCCCAGGCUGGAAUGCAGUGGCGCAAUCUCAGCUCACUGCAACCUCCGCCUCCUGGGUUCAAGCGAUUCUUUGGCCUCAGCCUUGCAAGCAGCUGGGAUUACAGGCAUGUGCCACCAAGCCUGGCUAAUUUUUGUAUUUUUAGUAGAGAUGUGGUUUUGCCAUGUUGGCCAGGCCUGUCUCGAACUCCUGACCUAAAGUGAUCCACCUGCCUCGGCCUCCCAAAAUGCUGGGAUUACAGGCAUAAACCACUACGCCUGGCCUGAAGUUAAUUUUAAUAAUAUAUUUUACUUAACCCAGUAUAUAUCCAAAAAGUAUCAUUUCAUCAUGUCAAUUAGAAUUUAUGAGUGAGACAUAGGUGGGAGUUGAACAAUGAGGACACAUGGACACAGGGCGGGGAACAUGACACACCGGGGCCGGUGGGAGUCGGGGGCAGUGGGAGGGAUAUCAUUAGGAGAAAUACCUAAUGUAAAUGAUGAGUUGAUGGGUGCAGCACACCAACAUGGCACAUGUAUUCCUAUGUAACAAACUUGCACAUUGUGCACAUGUACCCUAGAACUUAAAGUAUGAUAAUAAUUUAAAAAGGAAUUUGAGAUAUUUUAACAUUCUUUUUCUUUCUUUCUUUUUUUUUAUUUUUUUGAGACGGAGUCUUUCUCUCUCGCCCAAGCUAGAAUGCAGUAGUGUGAUCUUGGCUCACUGCAACCUCCGCCUCCCAGGUUCAAGUGAUUCUCCUGGCUCAGCCUCCCGAAUAGCUGGGACUACAGGCACAAGCCACCACACCUGGCUAAUUUUUGUAAUUUUAGUAGAGGCAGGGUUUCACCAUAUUGGUCAGGCUGGUGUUGAACUCCUGACCUCAGGUAAUCCACCUGCCUUGGCCUCCCAAAGUGCUGGGAUUAAAGGCGUGAGCCACCACACCCAGCCAACAUCCCUUGUCUCCCCUCCCCUCCCUUCCUCCUCCCCUCCCUCUUCCCUCCCCUUUUCUUCCCCCUUUUUGAGACAGACUCUUGCUCUGUCGCCCAGGCUGGAGUGCAGUGGUGCAAUCUCGGCUCACUGCAACCUCCGCCUUCCAGUUUCAAGCGAUUCCUCUGCCUUAGCCUCCUGAGCAGCUGGGACUACAGGCACGCACCACCACGGCUGGCUAAUUUUUUGUAUUUUAGUAGAGACGGGGUUUCACCAUGUUGGCCAGGAUGGUCUCGAUUUCCUGACCUCGUGAUCUGCCCACCUCGGCCUCCCAAAGUGCCGGGAUUACAGGAGUGAGCCACUGCGCCCAGCCAACAUUAUUUUUCUUCAUACUGACUCUUCCAAAUUCUCUGUGGGGUUUUGCACUUGGAGAGUAUCUCACAGAUCCUGAAACCCAGGGACUCCUAGAAACUUCUCUCCAAUUCUUUAGAGAGAACGCUGCAGCUCGGAGGGGCCUCGGGGGGAUCUGGUGUGACUUUUCCCAUUUCCACAGAGGAAACCCAGCGAAGCCUAGGGAGGUCCUAAGAUGACCCUGGGGCCCCAGUGUAAGCUUGCAGCGGAGCCAGGACCAAAUGCCUGUCCCACCAGCCCUCGCCUCCCUGCUAGGGCCCAAGGCGUCUCUGCUCUUCCGGAUGGAGAAAGAAGCUGCCUUUUGAGGCUGCAUCUCAUCUUGUGGUUUGGGGUUGGAGUUGGGAGAGAAUGCCUGAGAAAAGGUCAGGUGUGGUGGCUCACACCUGUAAUCCCAGCACUUUGGGAGCCCGAGGCGGGCAGAUCACGAGGUCAGGAGUUCAAGACCAGUGUGGCCAAUAUGGUGAAACUCUGUCUCUACUAAAAAUACAAAAAAUAGCCAGGCGUGGUGGCGCAUGCCUGUAGUCCCAGCUACUCGGGAGGCUGAAGCAGAAGAAUCGCUUGAACUCAGGAGACUGAGGUUGCAGUGACCCAAGAUCAUGCCACUGCACUCCAGCCUGGGUGACAAAGCAAGAUUCCGUCUCAAAAAAAAAAGAAAAAAGAAAAUGCCUGAGAAGAUAGGAAUUGGUGGAGAUGAGGGGACACAGGUCCCCAGGCCUCCUGGACUUACAUAGCCUGGGAAGGCGGAGUCAGAAGAAGGAGGAUGGUAUGCGGGAAGAGAGGCAAGAAAGAUGCCAGCGAGGGAGAACAGCAGGGGGCAUGGGAAUAAUUUGGGAUUUGCUUCCACGGAUUGGGGGGGCGACAGGUCUUAGCUUCCUGUGGCCACUGUAGCAAAUGACCAGAAAUGGGGUGGCUUCAAACAGCAAGCAUUUGUUCAGAAGAAUGAAAUCAGGGUGCUGGGAGGGCCGUGUUCCCUGAGAGGCUCUGGAGAGAUGCUCCCUCCCUCUCCCACUUCUGGUGGCUGUGGCCUGCCUGGACUCGUGGCCUUGUCACGCCAGCCUCUGCCUCAUGGUUGCACGUCAGCCUUCUUGGUCUCAACUCUCCCUCCGCCUCCCUCGUAUAAAGACACUUGGUUGGGUUUAGGGCCCACCCAGAUAAUCCAGGAUGAUCUCCUCAUCUCAAGAUCCUUAAUCUAAGUACAUUGACAGAUAUUUUUCCAAAUAUAGUGGCACUCACGGGUUCUAGGAAUUAGGAUGUGGGCAUGUCACUUUGAGGGUCACCAUUCAACGCACUGCAAAGUGACAGAGUGAGAACAUCAGUCCAAAAGUAAGGAGAGACCCUGUGCCAUCAGAGACGGUGUAUCCUGUGGAGUCAUUCAGGCAGGUGACUUGGAACAGGGAGUUUCAGCGUAGUGAGCCCUUGGUGCCUGGCUUAGGAGUGAAUGAGAUUAGGAGGUUACAGAGGCCUUCCUAAGAGGCCCCAAGAGUCUUCCAGACCUCAGCACCCCCAUCUGGAGGGGAGCAGUGGGGCCCUGUUGCCCUCACACCUGUGUCUCUAUUGUCUGAAAGUUCAGUAGAAGGGAGUUCACCACCUCUGUCACCUCUGUCAGCUCCUGCCUGGGGGCCACUCUCUCCUCACCCAGACACAGGCUCCCCAGCCAGAUCACUCUGGAACUUUCCCUGGCAGCUCAGAGUGGCAGGAGUCAGAGCUGUGUUGACAUUGCACAUUUUUGAACCUGUCUACAGCAGCCUGGGUUGGGCACAACCUGGAAUUGCCCUCAGGAGCUGCCUUGGGCCUGUGCAUCAGUGAGGCCAGGGCGGCCGCCUCUGUACUGACCUGCCAGUCGGCUGGCUCUUCCUGCUUCCUUCCUGCUGCUCCAGGCCUCCCAGGUCUAGCACACGUGCAUUCAUUGUGGCCAGGAGUCCUGCAUUGAGGCUCAGGACACCUGGGUCUCUGUCCCACCUGCCCCUAACCUGUCACCCCACCUUGGGGCCUUGGUUUCUCUCCUUUAAAAAGGAGUUGAAUUAUGGAAGGUUUCUUCCAGCUUGGUCCUCUGUACAGGGGAUUGUGCCAAGCAUGGGUGGUGGGCAAGAGUUAAGGAGGAAGGUGGCUGGCUAUAGUGGCUCACGCCUGUAAUCCUAGCACUUUCGGAGGCCAAGGCGGGCGGAUCACUUGAGGUCAGGAGUUUGAGACCAGCCUGGCCAACAUGGUGAAACUCUACUAGAAAUACAAAAAUUAGCCGGGCGUGAUGACAGGCGCCUGUAAUCCCAGCUGCUCCGGAGGCUGAGACGUGGGAAUCACUUGAACCCGGGAGGCAGAGGUUGCAGUGAACUGAGAUUGCACCACUGCACUCCAGCCUGACUUUUUGAGACUCUGUUUCAAAAAAAAAAAAAAAAGGAAAAGGAAAAGGAAGGUGAUGGCAGGUAGGGGUUUCCUGAGAGACUAUGAGGGGAGCCCAGGGCCAGAGAGAGCAGGGAAGGCCCAGCCAGCGACUGCUAUCUAUAGAGUGGGCCAGUGCCUGUCAGGUCACUGUAUCCUCCCAGCAAACUCCUAUCCUUAUUUGUUCUGGAAUGUUCUCAGUGGUGUCUGGUGGAAUUGCUCUCCUAGGUAUAAGCUCAGAUUGGGUUUCUGCCCAUCCUGGGGUCAGCUGAGACAGGGUAGUGUGUGUUGUAGGGAGAAGCACUGAGCUGCCCUCUGACAUCCUUCGGCUACAGGGACCAAAACGAGUUUAGGAAGGGUGUGAUCUGAUACGUUUAUUCUUUUUUUUUUUUAAUUUUCAUUUUUCUUUUUUUUCCCCUCUUUUUUUUAGAGACGGGGUCUCGUGUUGCUCAGGUUAGAGUUCAGUGGCUAUUCACAGGCAUGAUCUCACUGCUAAUCAGCAUGGGAGUUUUGACCUGCUCCGUUUCCAGCAGAGGCUGGUUCACCUCUCCUUAGUCAACCUAGUGGUCCCCUGCUCCCAGGAGGCCACCAUGUUGGUGCUGAACUUAGUGUGAACACCUGAUUGGCAUAGCACACUACAGCCCAGAACUCCUGGGCUCAAGUGAUCCUCCCGCCUCAGCCUCCCGAGUGACUGGACUACAGGUGUGCCCCACGACACCCAGCUAACCAUUUUUUAAUGAAAAAAAAGUGUAGUUUUCUCCAUUUUUUUCAUUCAAAAAUCUUUCUUUCAGCUAAUACUUAUAAGCACCUGCUUUGUGCUAGGCUUAUUUGUGCAGUAAAUUCUUUUUUUUUUUUUUUUUGAGACAGAGUCUUGCUCUGUCGCCCAGGCUGGAGUGAGGAAGCCCUAAUAUAUAAUCUUCAGUCAACUGUUAAUCUGGAAGCCUCACCACAUUGCUUUUUGGAUUAGCAGAAUGCCAUCCUGGGGAAUCCCAGCAGAAAGGAAGAAAGGAGCACUGUCAGUCUUACUGGUCACCCCUGGCCAAGGCCCAGUCAUGACCCUUCCUUCCAUCUCCAUUUGAUCCCAUCAUAAACCUCAAGAAAAGUAAAAAGCAUCAUCAUCUUAGGAAAAAGUGUGGCGGGGGUGCUCAAUAUGUUGAUCAUGUUAUGGCAAGACUCCAGAUUAUCUCUCUUCUUCUUUUUUUUUUUUUUUUUUAGGCGGAGUCUCACUCUGUUGCCCAGGCUGGAGUGCAGUGGCGCAAUCUUGGCUUACUGCAAGCUCCGCCUCCCGGGUUCACGCCAUUCUCCUGCCUCAGCCUCCCGAGUAGCUGGGACUACAGGCUCCCGCCACCAUGCCCAGCUAAUUUUUUGUAUUUUUUAAUAGAGACGGGGUUUCACCGUGUUAGCCAGGAUGGUCUCGAUCUCUUGACCUCGUGAUCUGCCCGCCUCGGCCUCCCAAAGUGCUGAGAUUACAGGCGUGAGCCACCGCGCCGGGCCUUGUGCAUUAAAUUCUAAAAGCAACGCUCGUACGGAAAUGCAGGCAUUUUGUGAGCAGCGCCUGGUUCCCUCCUGGCUGUGCAGCUGUGGGGCCUGGCUGUCCUUACUCUCCAGUGCAGGUGGAGCUCCUGUGGAAAGUGCAAAGGGUCCUGUUUCCAGGGCUAUGAGUGCUGUCACUUGUCACUUGUAUGCUUGCGCCAGGGCACCCAGUGGGGCAGGCAUGGAAGCUUGUUGCAGCAGCACCCUCCUCCCUGCCCCUGGAAACUAACAUGACCUCAGCAGGACAGGCCAUUUCUGGGAGGCAGCCUGUCCACAUGGAACACGUUGCCAUGGAUGGUAUGAUGGUGGUCAGCUGCAUGGGUCAUCUGGCGCAAGACUGGCCCAGGCAUCUCUGAUCUUAGGGCUGACAAGCGCUGGAUGAAGAGUAAGUGGUGGUCUGGGCUCUGGCCCCAGUGACAUCAUGCGCUUGCAGUGGCCCUGAAUAGCCACCCCUGCUUCUGCGCCUUCUUUCUCUGCUUAGAAAUGAGCCCUGCCAUCACGCUGGACCCUUCAUCCACUCAAUAUUUUUCUUAAGUGGGUUCAUUCUUUGAACACUGAAACAUAUUAUUUAAAAGGGAAACUGGCCGGGCGUGGUGGCUCAUGCCUGUAAUCCCAGCACUUGGGGAGGCCGAGGCAGGUGGAUUGCUUGAGCCCAGGAGUUCAAGACUAACCCAGGCACCACAGGAAGACCCUGUCUCUACAAAAUAUCAAAAAAUUAGCUGGGAAUGGUGGUGCAUGCCUGUAGUCCCAGCUACUCAGGAGGCUGAGGUGGGAGGAUUGCUUGAGCCCUGGAGGUUGAGGCUGCAGUGAGCUGUGAUUGUGCCACCAUCCUCCAGCCUGGGAGACAGAGUGAAACUCCAUCUCAAAAAAUAAAUAUUUUAUUUAGAAAAGGAAGCUCUGUGCAGCCACCUAAAUGGAACACCUGUAUCAUGUGCAGGUAACUGCAAAAGUAAAUACAAUGAAGACCAAAGCCAAAAUAUUAUAAAAUUCCAGAUAGACUUGGCUGCCUCCCUACAUCUCGGUGCCUGGGCUCUGCAUUUGUUGGAGUUAGGGGCGUGCUGGCCUGGAGCUGAGCCCUACUUCACCUACACAGGUGACUGGAAGAUCCUUGAAGAGGGAGGCUCUUUCCCAGCAGGUGAGGGGUGCCAUUGAACUUGGGGCUUUGCUCUAUCUAGGAAGGCCUGCCAGCCGGCGUGCCUCUGAAGAAAUGCUCACCUGUGAGCAGGGAGCGCUCCCUAAACGCUAGUGGUGGGAUUCUCCCUCUCUCCACUGGGCCUCAAAACACAGGCUCUUUGUUCACAUGGCUGGAGACUGCCGAGGGUUUGGCUGCUGCUCAGGACCGCCUGGAUUCCUCACAGAGAGUGGCAAGGAGGCAUCAGGAUACACCAGGAAAUUCCCAGAACCAUAAGGUGGGAGACCCAGGUUUGAGUCCUGCCUUUGGCACCAAGCCAGCUGGGGGACUUUAUUAUUCAUGCAGUCUACAAAUAUUUAUUGAGCAUUUCCUGUGUGCCUGAUACUGUGCCAGGGCUGGGCUUUGGCAGUAAACAAGAUGGAAAUGAAAUUGCUUUGGCAAUUUGGCAGUCUGGCAAUUUGGCAAUGAACAAGAUGGAAAUCAAACCCCUUGCCCUAGUGGGGCUUUUAUUGAAGUGACAGGAGAUAGUCAGCAAACAAGGAAACAAGUAGGAAACUUCCAAGUAGUGAUAUGGGAUCAGAAUAAGAUGGGGUAAUAGGAUAGAGUGCCUAGGGAGCCAGCAUUAGAUGGGGAGGUCAGGGAAGGCAGUGUCUGGAAUAUGGGUGUGAUGCCUGGAGACAUAGCAGCCAUUUUGUGACCAUGAGGCAAGAAGCAUGAGGACAAAAAACAACAUAGCAACGAUGCUGCAGAGGGAAGUUGAGAAGAGCCUAGGCCUUUGAUGACAUCAUUGCACCACUGCACAAACUCUGGACCUUCAUCCUCCAGGCUUCAUGAUACAUGAGAUAAAUGAAAUGCCCUGUGGGUUAGGCUUUUCUAGCAGCUAAACAUGUCUUUAACUAAAACAGACUUAAACGACAAGGAAGAGCAAACUAGGAGAAUAUGUAGAAGAAGAACAUUUCAGGUAGAGGGAACACAUGUGCAAAGGCCCUGAGGCAGGAAUGAGCUUGAAAGAGUUGAUGAACAUAACGUCAGUGCAGCUGAAGUGUGAUGAAGUGGAGGGACAUAGGUAAGCAGAGGCAGCAUUGGGGCCCUUGGGUUUUAUCCUUCAUGCAGUAAAUAAGAGGGCAUUGGGGACUUUUGAGCAGGAGAGAGACACGAUGUGAUUGAGGUUUUAGAAAGCUCUUUCUGGCUGCUGCAUGGAGCCCACAGGGGGCAAGACAGCAGUCAGGCCAAAAGGUCAAGUGAGGAGUGAUGGACUCUGGCCUGACUCGGCCACAGCAGAGAUGGAGUCUGGGGGCCACGCAUAUAAUACACCACACACACCUCAAUACACCCCCUUCUGCCCAGGCAGACCCAGGUUCCAGUCCUGACCCUGCCACUUGUCAGCUCUCAAACCUACCCAUUUUCUCUCUCCUUACUGCCCCAAUCAUAGUGCAGGACGUCAUCGUCUCUCACCUAGCAUCUGCCACGGCCUUCUAAUCUGCCUUCCUACCUCUAGCCUUCAUCCCUCCCAUCCUUUUUCCACAUCCCAGCCACAGUUAUAUAUUUUUUCUUUUCUCUUUUUUUUUUUUUUUUCCAGAUAGAGGUUCACUGUGUCACCCAGGCUGGUCUCCAACUCCUGGGCCCAAGUAAUCCUCCCACCUCAGCCUCCCAAAGUGUUGGCAUUACAGGCGAGAGCCACUGUGCCUGGCCUAGCCACAAUAAUUCUUUUAAAACAAUAAAUGUAACCAUACUGCUUCUCUGCUUAGAAUCUUCUAGUGGAGCCUCAGCGUCAAGUCUAGAUCCCUGGCCAUGGCCUGUGUGUUUGUCAGGGCGUUGUCAGCUGCUGGAGCAAAUGGGCUGAGAAAUGCUUCAUAGUUAAGAUGCAGUUCAGUCUGGUUCUUCCUCACUGUGGUGUGAAGUAGGUGUCUCUUGCCAGUGGAUAGCUUUCCUCCACGCGGUGAUUCAGGGACCCAGGCUCCAACUGUCUUCUUCCCCUUCUCUAUCCAGCCAGUUUAAGGGAAGCAGAGGUGAGGGAGGAGCCCUCCCACUCUUAGAAGCCUCAGUCCACCUCUGCUCACAAUUGACUGCAGGGGGAGACUAUGAAAUAGUCUGUGUAUCCAGGGAGGUCAGAAAAUGGAUUUUUAAUGAUUCACUAUGAGUCUCACAACAGUCUUUCUUUCUGGCAACGAGAUAGCAGUGUGCUCUUUCUUCUAUCACACCCUCCCCCAGAGGGAUGACCCCAGACUCCAUCUGUCUCUGCCUGUGGCCCUGCAUCUCCUGGAACAUUCCAUGCUCUCCGCUAGUACCAUCCCGUGAUCUCCAAGUAAAAUCCAGUUCCUGCUCCCUCUGAACUGACUGGGGGCAGUUAAAGCUCUCAUUAGGGAAGGGGGAACAGGGACACACAGCAGCCCCCACACCACAAUUGCAGAAUCUGACUGGCGGUGUUGUGAAGCUCCCUGUCCUACUCGUGGAGGGAUUUCCCAUCUCUGCUUUCUGGGAGGCCCCUCCUCAUCCAGUAUUCUCCGUGGCAACAUCUGAGGUGGGGACCACAUGGUUUUUGCAGCUCUUUUCCUGCCUGUACAAGGGUGGAGGCCCAAGGCUUGUUCUACAAUGACAGGCUUGUGGUGUCUUUGGCAAUACAAUUCCCUCCAGAUUUUAGGGAGUUUUCCUUCCAAUAAGUUCCAUGUGACCACACCCGAGGUACUUUUCUACUGUCAUCUUCCAGCAGCUUUAUUUCUUUGCUUCCUUAUUUCCCAUGUCUCUGUCUCUGCUGUCUCUGUCUGUCUGUGUACUGACACUGACCUUGAGAACAUCUCAACAGUUAGUGGGGCAAGACCACCCACUUCAUUUGAUCCUUGCUGCAGGAUUAAGGCCUUUGUAGACCUGAGAGUUUUAAUGAGCCUUUGCUACUUAAAACCUUUUUAUUUUUAUUUCCUGCUAUUUGAGAUCCAUUCACAGUUCACUUUUCCAACACUACAAGGCCUCAAACUCUUCAUAUUUCCCUUUCUUCUAUUUCCACACUGUUUAUAUCUUGCUUGAGUGCGUCUCUGUCUCACAAUACCUUACUGUACACCAAAGGAAUGACUAACAUACUUUUUUUUUUUUUUGAGAUGGAGUCUCGCUCUGUCUUCAGGCUGGAGUGCAGUGGCACGAUCUCGGCUCACUGCAACCUCCGCCUCCUGGUUUCAAGUGAUUCUCUUGCCUCAGCCUCCCAAGUAGCUGGGACUACAGGCAUAUGCCACCAUGCCCAGCUAAUUUUUGUAUUUUUAUUAGAGACAGGGUUUCACCAUGAUGGCCAGGAUGGUCUCGAUCUCUUGACCUCGUCAUCUGCCUGCCUCGGCCUCCCAAAGUGUUGGGAUUACAGGCAUGAGCCACCGCACCCAGCCCAACAUACAUUUUUAUUGCAGCUCACUCAGCCACCUUCUUCUGGAGCUACAGGCUUACUUCUCCCAGUCUUCCCUUCAAGCUAUUGUAGGCUACAGGUCUAACAAACAUUUCACCUCUGCAUGACAUAAGUCUCCCACUUUCCAUUCUGCAACAUCUAUUUUCAUGUUCCCUGCUGCCUGGCCACUAAGCCAAUGGUACAUAUUUUAGGUUUCAAGUUAUGGCGGCACUCUAUUUUGAGGUAUUCAUUAGUGCACACUAUCUCCUGUAACAAAUAGACCCCAAAAUGCAGAAUGAUUAAAACACCACAGAGAUGUGUUUCUCACAUAACAAGCCAGAGUGAGAGCUCAUUAGUGGCACGUGGCUUUUCUCCUGAAAAGCUGAAUGCAGUGAUUCGGAAACCCGUGUUCUUUACAGUUAGUAGAUUCACCCUUCCCAAGGCCUAGUAACCAAUGGUAUUCAGCGGUGGAACGGGAAAGAGAGAGCCUGGAGAGAGCCCAUAUCCAUACUCCUUGCAGAAUGCAGACCUCAGGCCCCAUCUGCUGUGUGGGUGGCAGGAGGUGCAGCUGUGUGCCCAUGAGUGAAAACCCAUUGAACUGCUAACAAUCUCUCCCACACUUCAGGGCUGUCCAUCAUCCAGCCAUCCCACCUCUCCAGUCUCAUCCCUUGACCUUCCCCCUGCCAGCCUCACUCAUCUUCAUUCGAUUCCUCAAGGAUGGCAUGACUCUCUCAUCUCUAGGUCUUUGCUCAUGUUGGUUAGUCCACCUGGAGCCCUCUCUCCCUCACUGUUCUAGCCAUUCACCCAGCCAGCCAGCCAUCCACUCAUCCACCAAACCAUCCACCCACCUACUCAUCCAGCCAUCCACCCAGCCAUCCAUUCACCCAUUCAUCCAGUCACCCACCCAUCCACCCAUCCACCCAUCCACCCAUCUACCCAUCCAUCCACCCACCCAUCUAUCCACCCAUUCAUCCACUCUUCCAUCCAUCUACCCACUCAUCCACCCAGCCAUUCAUCCACCCACACCCAUCCAUCCACCCACUCACUCAUGCAUCCACUCACCCAUCCACCCACACAUCCACUCAUUCAUCCACCCACCCAUCCACCCACUCACUCAUCCACCCACACAUCCACUCAUUCACCCAUCCACCCACUCAUCCACUCAGCCAUCCAUCCACCCACACCCAUCCACUGAUUCACCCACUCAUCUGCCCACCCAUCCAUCCACCCACUCAUCCACCCGUCCAUCUAUCCAUCCACCCACUCAUCUAUCCACCAAUCCAUCCAUCCACUCAUCCAUCUGUCCACCCACUCAUCCACCCACACCCAUCCAUCCAUCCACCCACUCAUCUGCCCACUCACCUAUCCUUCCAUCCAUCCACUCAUCUACCCAUCCAUCUAUCCACCCAAUCAUCUACCCACUCACCCAUCCACCCUUUAAUCCAUACACUCACUCAUCUACCCAUCCAUCUAUCCACCCACCCAUCCACCCAGCCAUUCACCCAUCCACCCAUCCAUCCAUCCACCCACCCACCAUCCACCCACCUAUCCACUAAUUCACCCACCCACUCAUCCAUUCAUUCAUCCAUUUACCCAUCCAUCCAUCCACCCACCUAUCCACACACCCAUCCACUAGUUCACCCACCCACCCACCCAACAAAUGUUUUGAGCAC
RNAcentral lists this long non-coding RNA (22081 nucleotides) under Homo sapiens (human). RNAcentral describes it as "non-protein coding lnc-DHRS7B-1:7". The stretch from base 12499 to 12646 matches the Rfam family "Metazoan signal recognition particle RNA". The record is from RNAcentral. Lineage: Eukaryota; Metazoa; Chordata; Mammalia; Primates; Hominidae.